Molecule: ribosomal RNA, 627 nt
Filed under: uncultured bacterium
Lineage: Bacteria
Description: bacterial SSU rRNA
Rfam family: Bacterial small subunit ribosomal RNA
Source: RNAcentral
CUGCCUUUCAGAGGGGGACAACAGUUGGAAACGACUGCUAAUACCGCAUAAAAUAACGGAAUCGCAUGAUUCUGUUAUCAAAGGAGAAAUCCGCUGAAAGAUGGGCUCGCGUCUGAUUAGAUAGUUGGUGAGGUAACGGCCCACCAAGUCGACGAUCAGUAGCCGGACUGAGAGGUUGAACGGCCACAUUGGGACUGAGACACGGCCCAGACUCCUACGGGAGGCAGCAGUGGGGGAUAUUGGACAAUGGGGGAAACCCUGAUCCAGCGAUGCCGCGUGAGGGAAGAAGGUUUUCGGAUUGUAAACCUCUGUGGACAGGGACGAUAAUGACGGUACCUGUCAAGAAAGCCACGGCUAACUACGUGCCAGCAGCCGCGGUAAUACGUAGGUGGCGAGCGUUGUCCGGAAUUACUGGGUGUAAAGGGAGUGUAGGCGGGAAGGCAAGUCAGAAGUGAAAAUUAUGGGCUCAACCCAUAACCUGCUUUUGAAACUGUUUUUCUUGAGUGAAGCAGAGGCAAGCGGAAUUCCUAGUGUAGCGGUGAAAUGCGUAGAUAUUAGGAGGAACACCAGUGGCGAAGGCGGCUUGCUGGGCUUUUACUGACGCUGAGGCUCGAAAGUGUGGGGAGC